UCCUACGGGGGGCAGCAGUGGGGAAUAUUGCACAAUGGGCGCAAGCCUGAUGCAGCGACGCCGCGUGAGCGAAGAAGUAUUUCGGUAUGUAAAGCUCUAUCAGCAGGGAAGAAAAUGACGGUACCUGACUAAGAAGCUCCGGCUAAAUACGUGCCAGCAGCCGCGGUAAUACGUAUGGAGCAAGCGUUAUCCGGAAUGAUUGGGCGUAAAGGGUGCGUAGGCGGCCUGCUAAGUCUGGAGUGAAAGGUACCGGCUCAACCGGUACAGGCUCUGGAAACUGGCGGGCUAGAGAGCAGGAGAGGGCG
Molecule: ribosomal RNA, 305 nt
Filed under: uncultured bacterium
Lineage: Bacteria
Description: bacterial SSU rRNA
Rfam family: Bacterial small subunit ribosomal RNA
Source: RNAcentral